CAUGCAGUCGAGCGGUAACAGGUCUAGCUUGCUAGACGCUGACGAGCGGCGGACGGGUGAGUAAUGCAUAGGAAUCUGCCCGAUAGUGGGGGAUAACCUGGGGAAACCCAGGCUAAUACCGCAUACGUCCUACGGGAGAAAGGGGGCUCCGGCUCCCGCUAUCGGAUGAGCCUAUGUCGGAUUAGCUAGUUGGUGAGGUAAAGGCUCACCAAGGCGACGAUCCGUAGCUGGUCUGAGAGGAUGAUCAGCCACAUCGGGACUGAGACACGGCCCGAACUCCUACGGGAGGCAGCAGUGGGGAAUAUUGGACAAUGGGGGCAACCCUGAUCCAGCCAUGCCGCGUGUGUGAAGAAGGCCUUAGGGUUGUAAAGCACUUUCAGCGAGGAAGAACGCCUGGCGGUUAAUACCCGCCAGGAAAGACAUCACUCGCAGAAGAAGCACCGGCUAACUCCGUGCCAGCAGCCGCGGUAAUACGGAGGGUGCAAGCGUUAAUCGGAAUUACUGGGCGUAAAGCGCGCGUAGGUGGCUUGAUAAGCCGGUUGUGAAAGCCCCGGGCUCAACCUGGGAACGGCAUCCGGAACUGUCAGGCUAGAGUGCAGGAGAGGAAGGUAGAAUUCCCGGUGUAGCGGUGAAAUGCGUAGAGAUCGGGAGGAAUACCAGUGGCGAAGGCGGCCUUCUGGACUGACACUGACACUGAGGUGCGAAAGCGUGGGUAGCAAACAGGAUUAGAUACCCUGGUAGUC
This 743-nucleotide ribosomal RNA is filed under the name Vreelandella songnenensis. RNAcentral's name for it is "bacterial SSU rRNA". It matches the Rfam family "Bacterial small subunit ribosomal RNA", at positions 54 to 795 of the family's 1533-position model. The record is from RNAcentral. Lineage: Bacteria; Pseudomonadati; Pseudomonadota; Gammaproteobacteria; Oceanospirillales; Halomonadaceae.